Molecule: ribosomal RNA, 429 nt
Filed under: Actinomycetes bacterium
Lineage: Bacteria; Bacillati; Actinomycetota; Actinomycetes
Description: Actinobacteria bacterium partial 16S ribosomal RNA
Rfam family: Bacterial small subunit ribosomal RNA
Source: RNAcentral
UAGGGAAUCUUCCGCAAUGGGCGAAAGCCUGACGGAGCAACGCCGCGUGAGUGAUGAAGGUCUUCGGAUCGUAAAACUCUGUUAUUAGGGAAGAACAAAUGUGUAAGUAACUAUGCACGUCUUGACGGUACCUAAUCAGAAAGCCACGGCUAACUACGUGCCAGCAGCCGCGGUAAUACGUAGGUGGCAAGCGUUAUCCGGAAUUAUUGGUCGUAAAGCGCGCGUAGGCGGUUGUUUAAGUCUGAUGUGAAAGCCCACGGCUCAACCGUGAGGGGUCAUUGGAAACUGGAAAACUUGAGUGCAGAAGAGGAAAGUGGAAUUCCAUGUGUAACGGUGAAAUGCGCAGAGAUAUGGAGGAACACCAGUGGCGAAGGCGACUUUCUGGUCUGUAACUGACGCUGAUGUGCGAAAGCGUGGGGAUCAAACAGG